Molecule: unclassified non-coding RNA, 229 nt
Filed under: Hevea brasiliensis (rubber tree)
Lineage: Eukaryota; Viridiplantae; Streptophyta; Magnoliopsida; Malpighiales; Euphorbiaceae
Source: RNAcentral
GGUGUCUCUUACAGUCAACCACAAUUUGAGUCAGUAUCUAAGCCACACUUAAUCAUCAAAGAGGCCAACUGGAACACAGAAUUGUGAUCACGGAAACUGUUAAGCAUAAGAAAACAAAUCUGUGAAUCAACAGAAAUGCCAUGAAACAACAUCAUACGCAGAAAAAUAUCUACGCCAGCUAGUAAGUUUCUUUUGCACAACCUAUUAAUCACAGCACUAUAAUCUCUAA